AGGAGGAGUAGACAUGGCGUGAUAUUGCUUCGGCUCAUCUGUUAUUCAGAAAUCAGAAAAUUCCUGCAAUAUCAUCAAGGCGAGCCGAAUCAAUAUCACUCUUGUAUGCUUCUUU
Molecule: microRNA precursor, 115 nt
Filed under: Corchorus olitorius
Lineage: Eukaryota; Viridiplantae; Streptophyta; Magnoliopsida; Malvales; Malvaceae
Source: RNAcentral